RNAcentral lists this ribosomal RNA (434 nucleotides) under uncultured bacterium. RNAcentral describes it as "partial 16S ribosomal RNA". It matches the Rfam family "Bacterial small subunit ribosomal RNA", at positions 29 to 507 of the family's 1533-position model. The record is from RNAcentral.
AGCGAACGCUGGCGGCAGGCCUAACACAUGCAAGUCGAACGAACCUUUCGGGGUUAGUGGCGGACGGGUGAGUAACACGUGGGAACGUGCCUUUAGGUUCGGAAUAACUCAGGGAAACUUGUGCUAAUACCGAAUGUGCCCUUCGGGGGAAAGAUUUAUCGCCUUUAGAGCGGCCCGCGUCUGAUUAGCUAGUUGGUUGAGGUAAUGGCUCACCAAGGCGACGAUCAGUAGCUGGUCUGAGAGGAUGAUCAGCCACAUUGGGACUGAGACACGGCCCAAACUCCUACCGGAGGCAGCAAGUGUGAAUGUUGCACAAUGUGCGAAAGCCUGACGCAGCCAUGCCCCGGGAAUUGGGAAGCUGAUAGGAGGGAAAAAGUCUCCCACCGUGGGUGAUAAAGACGUGACCCGCGAGAGAAGCAACGGCGAGCUACGUG